RNAcentral lists this ribosomal RNA (494 nucleotides) under uncultured bacterium. RNAcentral's name for it is "partial 16S ribosomal RNA". It matches the Rfam family "Bacterial small subunit ribosomal RNA", at positions 28 to 507 of the family's 1533-position model. The record is from RNAcentral.
GACGAACGCUGGCGGCGUGCUUAACACAUGCCAGUCGAACGGAAAGGCCUGCUUUCCCUUGUGGAUUGCGGGUACUCGAGUGGCGAACGGGUGAGUAACACGUGAGUGAUCUGCCCCCAACUUGGGUAUAAGCCUGGGAAACUGGGUCUAAUUCCCGAUAGGACUGCAGGGUGGUGCCUGUGGUGGAAAACGAUUUUCUAGUGGUUGGGGAUGAGCUCGCGGCCUAUCAGCUUGUUGGUGGGGUAAUGGCCUACCAAGGCGGCGACGGGUAGCCGGCCUGGGAGGGUGGACGGCCACAGUGGGACUGAGAUACGGCCCAGACGACUACGGGAGGCAGCAGUGGGGAAUAUUGCACAAUGGGCGGAAGCCUGAUGCAGCGACGCCGCGGGGGGGAUGACGGCCGUCGGGUUGUAAACUCCUUUCGACCGCGAGGAAGCCACCUGGUUGGAAGGGUGGUGACGGUAGUGGUAGAAGAAGCACCGGCUAACUACGUG